Molecule: ribosomal RNA, 355 nt
Filed under: uncultured bacterium
Lineage: Bacteria
Description: bacterial SSU rRNA
Rfam family: Bacterial small subunit ribosomal RNA
Source: RNAcentral
UAUCCGGAUUUACUGGGUGUAAAGGGAGCGUAGACGGUUUUGCAAGUCUGAAGUGAAAGCCCGGGGCUUAACCCCGGGACUGCUUUGGAAACUGUAGAACUAGAGUGCAGGAGAGGUAAGUGGAAUUCCUAGUGUAGCGGUGAAAUGCGUAGAUAUUAGGAGGAACACCAGUGGCGAAGGGGGCUUACUGGACUGUAACUGACGUUGAGGCUCGAAAGCGUGGGGAGCAAACAGGAUUGGAUACCCUGGUAGUCCACGCCGUAAACGAUGAUUACUAGGUGUUGGUGGGUACGACCCUCGGUGCCGCAGCCAACGCAAUAGGUAAUCCACCUGGGGAGUACGUCGCAAGAAUGAA